GCAGUCGGGGGCGAGUGGUUAAGGCGAUGGACUAGAAAUCCAUUGCGGUCUCCCUGCACAGGUUCGAAUCUUGUCGACUGCG
This is a non-coding RNA of Ixodes scapularis (black-legged tick), 82 nucleotides long. The record is from Rfam. Lineage: Eukaryota; Metazoa; Arthropoda; Arachnida; Ixodida; Ixodidae.